This 75-nucleotide transfer RNA is filed under the name Bacteroides sp. Its description in RNAcentral is "tRNA-Pro". It matches the Rfam family "tRNA". Rfam says of the family: Transfer RNA (tRNA) molecules are approximately 80 nucleotides in length. The record is from RNAcentral. Lineage: Bacteria; Pseudomonadati; Bacteroidota; Bacteroidia; Bacteroidales; Bacteroidaceae.
CGGGGUGUAGCGCAGUCCGGCUAGCGCACCUGCUUUGGGAGCAGGGGGUCGUGGGUUCGAAUCCCGCUACCCCGA